CUGAUUAGCUAGUUGGUGAGGUAACGGCCCACCAAGGCGACGAUCAGUAGCUGGUCUGAGAGGAUGAUCAGCCACAUUGGGACUGAGACACGGCCCAAACUCCUACGGGAGGCAGCAGUGGGGAAUAUUGGACAAUGGGCGCAAGCCUGAUCCAGCCAUGCCGCGUGAGUGAUGAAGGCCUUAGGGUUGUAAAGCUCUUUUACCUGGGAAGAUUAUGACGGUACCUGGAGAAGCAGCUGCGGCUAACUACGUGCCAGCAGCCGCGGUAAUACGUAGGCAGCGAGCGUUGUUCGGAGUUACUGGGCGUAAAGGGUGUGUAGGCGGUUGUUUAAGUUUGGUGUGAAAUCUCCCGGCUCAACUGGGAGGGUGCGCCGAAUACUGAAUGACUUCGAGUGCGGGAGAGGAAAGUGGAAUUCCUGGUGUAGCGGUGAAAUGCGUAGAUAUCAGGAGGAACACCGGUGGUGUAGACGGCUUUCUGGACCGUAACUGACGCUGAGACACGAAAGCGUGGGUAGCAAACAGGAUUAGAUACCCUGGUAGUCCACGCCC
RNAcentral lists this ribosomal RNA (549 nucleotides) under uncultured bacterium. RNAcentral describes it as "bacterial SSU rRNA". It matches the Rfam family "Bacterial small subunit ribosomal RNA", at positions 237 to 802 of the family's 1533-position model. The record is from RNAcentral.